AGCUAGGAUUAGAUACCCUAUUAUAUGAGCCAUAAAAAACAAACACCCGAGAACUACAAAUCAAGAUUUAAAACUCAAAGGACUUGGCGGUUUUUUAGACCUCCCUGGAGGAGCUUGCCAUAUAACCGAUAAUCCACGAAAAACCUGACCAGCCUUUGAAAAAUUCAACCUGUAUACCAUCGUCGUCAGUCUACCCCCCAAGGGAAGUACACUAAAAGAAAACUCCCUCACUACGUCAGAUCGAGGUGCAGUUAAUAGGCUGGGAAUGAGUGAGCUACAACACUACACUAGUAAAUAAACACAACUAUGAACAGUCUUUUGAAACAAAAGACUCAAAACAGGAUUCAGCAGUAAUGUAUAAAAGAAAAUAAACAUGAAACUUUAAGCUCUAAAAUACGCACACAUCGCCCGUCGGCUCUUA
RNAcentral lists this ribosomal RNA (421 nucleotides) under Stegnaster inflatus. Its description in RNAcentral is "partial 12S ribosomal RNA". It matches the Rfam family "Bacterial small subunit ribosomal RNA", at positions 768 to 1406 of the family's 1533-position model. The record is from RNAcentral. Lineage: Eukaryota; Metazoa; Echinodermata; Asteroidea; Valvatida; Asterinidae.